RNAcentral lists this unclassified non-coding RNA (1666 nucleotides) under Hevea brasiliensis (rubber tree). Lineage: Eukaryota; Viridiplantae; Streptophyta; Magnoliopsida; Malpighiales; Euphorbiaceae. The record is from RNAcentral.
UGGAAAUGCCUCUUCAUUUGCAGGUCCCUUUUCUUUCCUUUUCCUUUUUUUUUUCAGCGUAGGAAUUAAUUUUUCUGAUUCUGCUUUCUUAGCAAAACCUUAAUUAAUUUAUUUUUUUUAUUUUUCGAUAUAUGGGUUUUUCUUCUAUUUUUUCUUGACAAUUUAACAUAAUAAACAUUUGCCUGUCUGUCUGUUUUUUUUCAUGUCAAGGACAGAAGAACUUCAUUUUUAUAGGCUAGGAUUACACCAUCAAAUUUAGUAUAAUUCGUAGUAAUUAAUUAUUGUUCAUAAUUUUCUGUUACUUUAAUAGAAUAGUUUUUAUUUUUAGAUUAAUUUAGAAAAAUAGCUGGUCCAUAUCACUUCACCAUUAAUUGAAAAGAAUUUGUUUAUUUAUGCUAGUAUUAGCUUCAGUUUUUUAAUUCUUUUGUGAGAUAAAUUAUUUUGUUGGUAAUAUUUUAAUUUACUUCGUAAUUAAUUGAUAGUAUAACGGAUCAUCAUUAUUACAAUUCCAAACUCUACGCAUUUAAUAACUAAAUUAAUUAUCUUGACACAAAAUUAAUUUUUUUUUUUAUAAUUAAUGGUAUCACGUGAUAGUUUUUUUUUUAUAAGAUCAUUUACGUCGUGAUUAAUGAAUUUUAAAAAGAAUACAUUAUUAUUUUUGUCUUUUCUUAAAUUUAAAUUCUUGGGAUGAGUUCUCAGCCCUUGGGGUUGAUGGGUAUAAUCUCUACUUAAAUUCGGUGAAUUCAAAAUAUUUAAGUCUAAAUAAUUUUUUUUCAUAAACUCAUUAAUUAGAUAAAUAUAAGAUUGUAUUUGGUUGUGAAAAUGAGAGAAUUGAGCUUCAUAUGCAGACAGCAGCGAUGGUGUAUCAGCAGAGGUGCAACUCUCCAAAUUCACCAUUGUCUUCAUCGUUUGCAAAGAGGAACGAUAAUAAAGAUACAGAAAAAACCAUCCAAGACAAUAAAGAAUGUCCACCAUUGAAAUUCUUGGAAGAAAGCUGCCUGGAAUUGAAGCUUCUUCCUUCCAGCCAUUGCCAAAGUGUCUGUACACUUGACAAGGUUAAGUCUGCUCUACAGAGGGCGGAGAAAGAAACCAUUAGCAAGAAACGAUCAUCACUUCCAUCACACAUUGAACAAGAAGAACAACAACAAGAAAAAGGUGGUAAAAGUAGCGGCGGCGGCGGCGGCGGCGGUGAUGGUGAUAAUGGGAUGUUUGCUGCAGGGUGCCCUGGCUGUUUCAUGUAUGUGAUGACAUUGAAGACUAACCCUAAAUGCCCUCGCUGCAAUUCCACUGUUCUAUCUCCAUCUCUGUUGAAGAGGCCAAGGAUUGAUCUGAAUGCAUGAUCACUUUGAUUUUCCAGUUUAUAGUAUAUGGUUAAUUGCUAAGUAGACUAUUAUUAUUCUACUUUGCUCUCUUUUUGUUUUUCUUCAAUUUCUUUCAAAUAUUCUGAUUUUGUGAAUAAAAAAUAGGUUUUAUUUAUUGUUAGAUAUGUAUAUUUUUAAAUUUGAAAUCAAUUGUAGGAUGGGGUAGCCAUGAUAAUGGUUAAGAGGGUUGAAAUUUGGUUUGUAGCUAAUUGGAAGUAUGGAUUUAGAGACUUUUACUUGGAUGUAUAUGUUAGGCGGCAUGUGAUUGAUAUUUUGGAUUUAUGUUGGCACUGAAUUUGUGGGGA